Long non-coding RNA from Ipomoea nil (Japanese morning glory), 981 nucleotides. RefSeq lists it as uncharacterized. NCBI's taxonomy places the organism in Eukaryota, Viridiplantae, Streptophyta, Magnoliopsida, Solanales, Convolvulaceae. The transcript has 2 exons. The record is from RefSeq and is a predicted model, not a curated record.
AUUGGGUGAUCCAAGUAUAUACAAGGGCUGAGUCUUAUGAUAGGUCAGUCGCAAAAUGUAUUUCUCAUAUUCAAAGUUCUUCCAUUUGUAGAGUUAGAUGUUAUUGUAUGCCAGACAUUUAUAGCAUGUUUACUUGGUGUAAAAUAGUGUGCACUAUCCAUUAUUGACUUGACCAAAGUAUCUUGAAACAUUAUACAGGCAAACAAGUUUCACCUGUUGGAGUAAAUAAAGUGUUCUCCAGAUCAGUGGCAAAGCCACCCCUUUGAACUAGUGGGCCAGUUGACACCACUAGAAUUUUAACCGAUAGUAUAUUUUGGAUGUGCACAAUAUGAUUAUUUAUUUUAGUGUAAAUAGAGUUAAAAUUUCUAAAUACCUCACUGGAAAAAUGAAAAUUUUAUGUUUAGUUGGGUCAAAUUGUCCAAAUUGCAUAGAAAAAGAAAACUUAUCUUUCAUGAAAAAAACCAGCUUCAGACUAUCACUUUUCAUGCAUAGAAGGGAGUUGAGUGAAGGUCUACGGCCUCUCCAUGAAACAUUUAUGGCAUUGAUUCAUUUGUUUGGUUCAAAAGGUUUUGCUACGAGAGGUUUAGAAAUUCAUGUAGCUCACCCUUUGACCCACUUUGCUUUAUCUGAACAUUCAUGUAGAAGAACCAGGAUCACAGAGACAAAGUAGAGCAGAGAAAGGACUGGUAGCAGUUGGUGUGGUCAAGGUGAACAGUUUUCGCCAUACACAGUGGCAGGGAAUUAUUGCAUAUCUAGAUGUACUCAUCAAAUCAGGCCUUCUUCCCAAGACAAAGGACUUCCAAAGUGCCGGCCUCUAAACAUGAUAAUUAUUACUUAUGUGCAUAGAAUUGUAUAUAUUCUCGUGUCUAAUCAGACCAUAUUUAAGAAUCAUUUGUAUCACAUUACAUCCUUGUAAUACUAUGAAAAAUAUUCUUCUAUUUUGAACAUUUAAUUGAUGCUAAAAUAUUUUGUUCUCAAUUA